RNAcentral lists this ribosomal RNA (427 nucleotides) under uncultured bacterium. RNAcentral's name for it is "bacterial SSU rRNA". It matches the Rfam family "Bacterial small subunit ribosomal RNA", at positions 355 to 774 of the family's 1533-position model. The record is from RNAcentral.
UGGGGAAUUUUGGACAAUGGGCGCAAGCCUGAUCCAGCCAUGCCGCGUGCAGGAUGAAGGCCUUCGGGUUGUAAACUGCUUUUGUACGGAACGAAAAGGUGCCUUCUAAUAAAGGGCGCUCAUGACGGUACCGUAAGAAUAAGCACCGGCUAACUACGUGCCAGCAGCCGCGGUAAUACGUAGGGUGCGAGCGUUAAUCGGAAUUACUGGGCGUAAAGCGUGCGCAGGCGGUUUUGUAAGACAGAGGUGAAAUCCCCGGGCUCAACCUGGGAACUGCCUUUGUGACUGCAAGGCUGGAGUGCGGCAGAGGGCGAUGAAAUUCCGCGUGUAGCAGUGAAAUGCGUAGAUAUGCGGAGGAACACCGAUGGCGAAGGCAGCUCCCUGGGUUGACACUGACGCUCAUGCACGAAAGCGUGGGGAGCAAACA